CAGUCGAGCGACAGAUAAGGAGCUUGCUCCUUUGACGUUAGCGGCGGACGGGUGAGUAACACGUGGGUAACCUACCUAUAAGACUGGAAUAACUCCGGGAAACCGGGGCUAAUGCCGGAUAACAUUUAGAACCGCAUGGUUCUAAAGUGAAAGAUGGUUUUGCUAUCACUUAUAGAUGGACCCGCGCCGUAUUAGCUAGUUGGUAAGGUAACGGCUUACCAAGGCAACGAUACGUAGCCGACCUGAGAGGGUGAUCGGCCACACUGGAACUGAGACACGGUCCAGACUCCUACGGGAGGCAGCAGUAGGGAAUCUUCCGCAAUGGGCGAAAGCCUGACGGAGCAACGCCGCGUGAGUGAUGAAGGGUUUCGGCUCGUAAAACUCUGUUAUUAGGGAAGAACAAACGUGUAAGUAACUGUGCACGUCUUGACGGUACCUAAUCAGAAAGCCACGGCUAACUACGUGCCAGCAGCCGCGGUAAUACGUAGGUGGCAAGCGUUAUCCGGAAUUAUUGGGCGUAAAGCGCGCGUAGGCGGUUUCUUAAGUCUGAUGUGAAAGCCCACGGCUCAACCGUGGAGGGUCAUUGGAAACUGGGAGACUUGAGUGCAGAAGAGGAAAGUGGAAUUCCAUGUGUAGCGGUGAAAUGCGCAGAGAUAUGGAGGAACACCAGUGGCGAAGGCGACUUUCUGGUCUGUAACUGACGCUGAUGUGCGAAAGCGUGGGGAUCAAACAGGAUUAGAUACCCUGGUAGUCCACGCCGUAAACGAUGAGUGCUAAGUGU
Molecule: ribosomal RNA, 781 nt
Filed under: Staphylococcus aureus
Lineage: Bacteria; Bacillati; Bacillota; Bacilli; Caryophanales; Staphylococcaceae
Description: bacterial SSU rRNA
Rfam family: Bacterial small subunit ribosomal RNA
Source: RNAcentral